Long non-coding RNA from Zea mays, 1200 nucleotides. RefSeq lists it as uncharacterized. The record is from RefSeq and is marked validated. The transcript has a single exon. NCBI's taxonomy places the organism in Eukaryota, Viridiplantae, Streptophyta, Magnoliopsida, Poales, Poaceae.
CGCCGCCACUAGGGGCGGUUCCAGCCACCGUCGCCAUGGCGUAUCCUUCGGCCAAUUCCUGGCGGCAUUUCGCGGCGGCGCACGGAUCCGGCCUGCGCGGCUCCGCGGCGGUGCCAGGACGCGACCCCGCGGCGGCGGGCGGGCACGGCCUUGGCGCGUGCCCCCCAGGCAGCGUGGCGCCCCCGACGGCCAGGGCGCGGCCCACUGGCGCGUGGCCGGCCAUGGCGGCCCCUGGCGGCGCGGUCCCGCGCGGGUGCGUCCCCCGACGGCCUGGGCGCGGCCGUCCCUCGGCUCAGACGGCCCUCGGCCAGGGCGGGCGGGCACGACCAGCGCGUGCGGGCGGCCUCCUCCGGCCAAGGCGGCGCGUGUGUGGCCCAGGCUUGGGCGCGCAGGCACGCCGGCCGGGCAGGUGUGUCCACUGCCAGCGCGGGCGCGCAGCCCCGGCACGGCCUCCCAGCGGCGUGGCCGUGGCUUAUGCUUGGGCGCGCGGGCACGGCGGCCGGCGUGGGCAGUGGCCCCGACGCGCGGCCCCGCGGCGGCUCGGAAAGUCGGCCCUGGCGCCCGUGGGCGCGGCCUCACUCCGGCGGCGCGGCCCCUGCUAGUCGCGUGGCGCGCGACCGCUCUCCGGCGGCGCAGCCCAGGCCAGAUGCGCGCGCAGGCCCGGCGGCGGCCUCGGAUGCGGCCAUGGCGCGCCCGGCACGCGCGGGCGCAGUCCCAGCUAUCUAGCGCGGGCUCGGCCCCGGCCCCCUGGCGCGCGUCCCUGGCGCAGGCGAGGCCCUGUCGCAUGCACAGCGGCCUAUGCGAGGGAGCGGACACGGGCACACGGCUCAAGUGGCGCGGACGAGACCAGCCUGGCCUCCUUCGUCAGCGCCGCAGCCGCAGCGUCCGUCGAGGCGAUGGCGCAGAGUAGAGACAAUAUUGCUUCAGUUUCGUAAUAGGUUACUCACUGAAAGAGUCGCGCAGGAGCAGGUCCGGCCUAGCGAUGCUAGCAUGCUGCCUCUUCGCGGUCUGUCAACGCCAAUCGUGAUCUUGCUUGUUCGUCUUGGCCUUCGUUGGAGAGCGUCGUGUCAUCAACGUUCUCCAACUAUGAGCGAUCUGUUUUCUUCCUACCAACAGCCACUUCUCUCUGUUCUCUCAAGCAAAAGUGCUGAUAACGUGUUAAAGUAUACUCAGUGGCAAAUGAGAAUUGAGAGAGACAAA